UGGGUAACCUGCCUCAAAGAGGGGAAUAGCCUCCCGAAAGGGAGAUUAAUACCGCAUAAUAUGUUUUAGUCGCAUGACUUAAACAUCAAAGGAUUUUCUUUUAAGAAAUUCCACUUUGAGAUGGACCCGCGGCGCAUUAGCUAGUUGGUGAGGUAACGGCUCACCAAGGCAACGAUGCGUAGCCGACCUGAGAGGGUNAUCGGCCACAUUGGAACUGAGACACGGUCCAGACCUCCGUAGGGACGG
RNAcentral lists this ribosomal RNA (246 nucleotides) under uncultured bacterium. RNAcentral's name for it is "partial 16S ribosomal RNA". It matches the Rfam family "Bacterial small subunit ribosomal RNA", at positions 118 to 348 of the family's 1533-position model. The record is from RNAcentral.